AGCCAGCGGCCGCCCACGAAGCUGUCGGUGCGCAGCAGCGCCGCAGAGAGGCCCGCCAGGCCCCCAGCGUAGCCGCGGAGCUGGGCCGGGCCGGGCGCAGGCCGGGAGGCAGGGACCAGGCCCCCGGCGCGGGGGCGGAGGCGGCAGCCUGGAAACGUCGACCCGAGGCGCUGGGCCCCACAGCUCCGCAGCCAAAAGCAGGUCGCCAUGGCCCGGGCAGCGACGGCGAUAGUAAACAGGUUGUGGCCUGGCCUGCUGAUCGUGUUGGGUUCUGUCUGCCAUAGAGGUUCAUCGUGUGGCCUUUCAACACAUGUAGAAAUAGGACACAGAGCUCUGGAGUUUCUUCAGCUUCACAAUGGGCAUGUUAACUACAGAGAGCUGUUACUAGAACACCAGGAUGCAUAUCAGGCUGGAACCGUGUUUCCUGAUUGUUUUUACCCUAGCAUCUGCAAAGGAGGAAAAUACCAUGAUGUGUCUGAGAGCACUCACUGGACUCCGUUUCUUAACGCAAGCGUUCAUUAUAUCCGAGAGAACUAUCCCCUUCCCUGGGAGAAGGACACAGAGAAACUGGUAGCUUUCUUGUUUGGAAUUACUUCUCACAUGGCGGCAGAUGUCAGCUGGCAUAGUCUGGGCAUUGAACAAGGAUUCCUUAGGACCAUGGGAGCUAUUGAUUUUCACGGCUCCUAUUCAGAGGCUCAUUCGGCUGGUGAUUUUGGAGGAGAUGUGUUGAGCCAGUUUGAAUUUAAUUUUAAUUACCUUGCACGACGCUGGUAUGUGCCAGUCAAAGAUCUACUGGGAAUUUAUGAGAAACUGUAUGGUCAAAAAGUCAUCACCGAAAAUGUAAUCGUUGAUUGUUCACAUAUCCAGUUCUUAGAAAUGUAUGGUGAGAUGCUAGCUGUUUCCAAGUUAUAUCCCACUUACUCUACAAAGUCCCCGUUUUUGGUGGAACAAUUCCAAGAGUAUUUUCUUGGAGGACUGGAUGAUAUGGCGUUUUGGUCCACUAAUAUUUAUCAUCUAACAAGCUUCAUGU
RNAcentral lists this small RNA (1030 nucleotides) under Pongo abelii (Sumatran orangutan). Its description in RNAcentral is "processed transcript". Lineage: Eukaryota; Metazoa; Chordata; Mammalia; Primates; Hominidae. The record is from RNAcentral.